This is a long non-coding RNA of Esox lucius (northern pike), 2670 nucleotides long. Lineage: Eukaryota; Metazoa; Chordata; Actinopteri; Esociformes; Esocidae. The record is from Ensembl.
ACUAGGUGACGUAUAGGCGUGGUUAGUGGUUCUCGUGCUGAGUCAGUGCUCUGUCAUAUGGCUACCUCAGCUUUGACACGGUGUGUUCUGUUUGUCUUGGGCAGGUUUGAGACCUCGCCAGAGACCCGGAUACAGGCGGAGGAGAGGCGGUACUACCCCGGAGGCAGAGCGCUGCAGCACCACCCCAGACUGAACACCUACACCCUGACUGUGGACACGGUUGCAGGGAAACGUCCGCCCAGCCUCAAGGGAGAGGUGGAGGAGCUACAGAAACUGAUACAGCGGUACACAGACCGCGGGGGAGAUGUUGUGUUCCAGAAGUUGUCGGCAGACGAGCUGAACACCCCCACAGUAGGAUCCAGCGACCUCAGCAACCUGUCAGCACACACUGCUUCACGCCCCCCCCACUGCCAUGCCUGCCUCCCGGGAGGGGCGGGGCCUUUUCCGAACGGCCAGCAAGAGGAAGGGGAGGCGUGCUCUGCUCAGACGGCUGUAGAGGACUGUGGGAAGGCGUCUGAUAAAAGAAGCGAAGCCGCAGCCCAGCAGCCGAGGGAGGGCGAGGCUUUAGCUUUCAGCGCACCAUCCUGUGGAAAUCAGCCGGAGGAAGCUGAUAGAGAGAGGACAGGCUUAAUCACCGCCAGGCAGGGCGGCAAGGCAGGUCGCCGUAAAAGAAACAAAGCGGAGAGAGAGAAGAGGAGGGCAGAGACGUUCGCCGCUGCCCUGGCUUCAUCGGCCAUGGGCCAGACACAGUCCCAGGAGAGCCAGGAACACCCGGAAGACGGGCAGGAAGACAGGCAGGAACCCCAGCGGGCCGGGGAGAGGACUGCUAACAGCGGUGACAUGGGGGCUCAGGAAACCGCACACAGGCAGGGAGAGCCUGAGAUCAUCCAGGAGACCCCUGUGGAAAACGGCAAGUUGGGGUACGCCGAGGCGGCCACUGAAUGUGCCCUUCAGACGACGACGGGAGCCAAGAGCUGCCACGGGGCGCACGCUACGGAGUCACAGGACUCGGAACAAAGACAGGAAACUGCUGCAGCCGUGACAAGUUAUUCUGAGGAGCACGAGUGGGGCUUUAGCUGCCGCCAGACCCCUGGGGCCGAGGAGGAGGGAGGCGGGGACGGGGGCGGUGCUGACGACACUGAGACAGAGGCAGGAAACCCCAGCCAACCGACCAACGGAUUCAGCCCUGAGUCAACCAGCAGCAGGAGCGGAGGCGCCCAGACAACCGACGCAAGCCGAAGCCCCAGCAUGGCGGAGGGAGACAGCGAGAGCGGAUGUUUCCGACAACCUGAUAGAGUUCCGUCACCACAACCGAGUGAGCCGGUCCCGGGCUCGGAGCCGCAGGACACAGCGGAGAUAGCGGCACCACCACAAAGUAGGCCGGACCCGGACGGCGCCCGAGACCGGGGAGGGCAGGAACGCGACGAACAGACGUCCGCCGACAUUUCCUUGGCCGAGGAGGAGAAGGAGCUCGUCCAGGCAGUUGAUCCGUCUGAAGAGAGCGCUGUGGGAGGACAGGAGACGCCCAGGAUAAAUAAGCUCUCCGUUCAGUGGGCGUCGCUGGAGGAGACAGACUCCCUGGCUCACAGGGAAGAGAUAGCAGCCACGGCAAUAGCAGUAGUGGCCAUAGCCAUCGCAGCUGCUGUCGCAAAUGUAGAACAAUGCAACGCCACGCUGGAGGAGAGCCAGGCCUUGGAGACUGCCAGGAGCCAGCCUCUGACCGGACCCCAAGACACUGCGCCAAUGGCUGGGGUCACAGUCUCUGAGGCCACCCUCGCCACCUCAGACGAAGGUCCAACCUUCACUCCCGAGGAUUCGGAGAACCCCUCAAAGGGAGAGGCAGAGCCUAACCUCAGACAACACGAGGAGAACGGCGACCAGGCUAGUGAGAGGCCUGAAAGUGGACCGGGAUUGGAGGCCGGUCCGGCAGGACUGAGUACACCCCAGGGAGACUCCCAGUCUGACACACUGUUUCAUCAUGAAAGGGCCGCAGACACACUUGGCGAUGAGGUCAUCACUUCCCCCUGUCCCUCCCCAGAGUGGUCUUCAGAGCUGACACAACAGGAGAUUUUUCCUUCAGACAUAGGAGUGACCCUUGGAACCCAGACACACCCAGACGGUGGUUGGUCGCGGAGUCCAGAGACGACUUCCCUGUCAGACCUAGACAGUGGAACAUGCCUGGGUGAUGAGCAGCACAGCUCCUCAGUGGAAGUAGACAGUGGAGAGUCCCUGGCCAUACAGCCCUCAGACACACUGGAUAUGCUGGAUGCAGGGAACGAGGGAACGAUGGAUACUGAAGGAGACAGUACAAAAGAUUUGAGGCCAGCUCUUGACGAGUGUCCGACAGCCCAAGACACAGACUGCAGAGCUCAUGAACAGGAGGAGGAGGAGAUGAAACCCCUCUCAGACAUGGCAGACGAGACGCUGAUCCACACAGAGAAGGAGACAUUCUACCCGGUCCAGCCCUGCUCAGAGCCCACAAUACAGGAAACAUCCACCAUCCCAGAAUGCACAGAAUGCCCAGAGACCCCAUGCUCCGACAGUGUUGGAGGGUCAGUGUGUGGAGGCCUGCCAGACUCAGUCAGUGAUGCCGACAGUCUGAUCAGUGCAGAGCUGGGAGAGGACAGCGUCUUCAGAAAGGGAGAGGAGGCUGUGACUGGGCAAAGGGAC